Molecule: long non-coding RNA, 1053 nt
Organism: Carassius auratus (goldfish)
Lineage: Eukaryota; Metazoa; Chordata; Actinopteri; Cypriniformes; Cyprinidae
Exons: 3
Source: RefSeq, a predicted model, not a curated record
CUCCAUACGUUGAAAGUAAAUGGGGACCAGGUGCAUAAAUGAAAAAAUAGCUCCAUAAAAGCAUCAUUAAAGUAUUCCAUAUCACCCAAAUGCCCAAAGUCUUCUCAUGUCAAUGUUUCAUUAUUAUUAUUUAUCUCUUAAACUAAACAAUCUAUUUUUUGGUCUGUUUUUUGUAUCUUGUACUCUGCCAAAAUAUUUUUUAAAUGCCUUUAGAUUAUUUUUUAUAUUAAUUAAUUGAAUGAUUAAUUCAUUUACUUAAUUUACAGACUUAAAUGAGGCAAGAGAUUUUUGGUUUGUUUGUUGUACCUUGUACUGUUUGGUGUAGCUCUGCCGAAAUGAUAAUAAUUAAAAAAAGACUUUUAAAAUUCCUUUUUAAAUGUGGUUUUCUUAAGGUGUAGCUGAUUUUUAUGCAUCUAAAUUUGUGUUAUCCAUAUUUGCGCACUCUUUCCCAAAAACAUGCCAUUUUAAAUCAUUAAACAUUCAUUAAGCUCUUGUUUCUUUUCGUGUUCUUAUAUUGUCCAGGUCCAAGUCCAGGUCCAGGUUAAGCAUGACCAGGUGCAGAGAAAAGUCUUCUUGCUUCCUCUCAGCUGAUUAGUGGAGCCGGUUGAUUGGUGCAAAUGAGGAAGCUUUUAUCCUGCUUGAGUAUAAUCUGCUUGCAUCUUUAUUGGCUAAAAGCAGGCGUGAUGCUGGCAUGACCCAGGCUGGCCCAGAGUUAGCCAAGACUGAUCCUGUUCGCCACAAGGAGAUAUAUGACCUCCAAAGCCCAGGUGGAGAAGGAAAAACAGAAAAAGUGAGUAAAUGAUGAAAGAGUUUUCACUUUGGGUGAAUGAUUCCUUUAAGCCUGAGGGAGAUGAGAUGUCAGCCAUGAUUCAGAAGGGCUUCUUUUAUCAAUUUGUUUAUUUCCACUUCUUGUUGCUUGAUCUCACUGGAGAAUCACUGGAAAAUAUACAAGUGAAGUCAUUCAUUUUGAUAUUUUUUUCCAUACUUACUAACCCACACAGUGCAGUAUCAUGGAAAUAGUUGCUUUUUUGUGCAGUUGUGAAAAGAAAUAAA